Molecule: non-coding RNA, 122 nt
Organism: Parasteatoda tepidariorum (common house spider)
Lineage: Eukaryota; Metazoa; Arthropoda; Arachnida; Araneae; Theridiidae
Source: RefSeq, a predicted model, not a curated record
ACAACAACUGUGCGCUUGUUAUUCUCUUUUAGUUAUUACGAAGCACCACUUUCACCAAGUGCGUAUCGAAAUUACUUAUCUUAUCGAAGCAAUCACUUGGAUCCUAGUGUACCACCAUCACC